RNAcentral lists this transfer RNA (74 nucleotides) under Mycoplasmopsis alligatoris A21JP2. Its description in RNAcentral is "tRNA-Thr". It matches the Rfam family "tRNA". Rfam says of the family: Transfer RNA (tRNA) molecules are approximately 80 nucleotides in length. Their secondary structure includes four short double-helical elements and three loops (D, anti-codon, and T loops). Lineage: Bacteria; Bacillati; Mycoplasmatota; Mycoplasmoidales; Metamycoplasmataceae. The record is from RNAcentral.
GCCACUUUAGCUUAGUGGUAAAGCACUUGACUCGUAAUCAAGAAACACGAGUUCGAUUCUCGUAAGUGGCACCA